CAGAAGAUAUCUGUGAAGAAUGAGAUGGUAGCAUUAAGUGGCUGUGUGAAGGAUGAAAUAGUAAAAUCUACUGCCCGUUGAGAAAAGAAUUCUUGUUUGCUGACUCUGGGAGUUCUGCUUUGGCUCAGGGUGUCUCUGCCUUCACAGAGCUGAUAUGGUGACUUCUGAGUCAGCUUACUUCUGAGUGAAAUAAGAAUCUCUAAGGAAAUUAUGCUCGUUUGGAUGGGAGUCGACUGAUGGCUGAGCAAACUUCCGAUUAGUAACUGCACGCCUCCAGCUUGACAAAGCUUACCUUGGACCUGGGGAGAGAUGACGGAAAAAUAUCAGACUGUGCCUUGAACAGCACGGAGGGGUUGGAAAAUACAAUUGUGUUUGCGGAAAGCACCCAGUGUAUACAGCCUGCAUGGCUGCAUGAUGGUCUCACUAUUGAAAAGACUGGCAGUGAGAAAUUGCAAACAGAGUGAACACAUCGUUUGUACCCUCCAGCUACUACAUAUCUUGGGACAGAUGUUUGAUGGAAAACAUUUGCUGGAAAGAAGCUGAAAUAAACAAACAUUAUUCAUUUGAAAGGCGAUGAUGAGUAUUAUGAAGAUGGUGGAAGGUGCCAGGGUCAGUAAAAGUUAAUUUGGAAAACCUAACUUUGCCAAAAUGAAACUAUUA
Molecule: long non-coding RNA, 660 nt
Organism: Cuculus canorus (common cuckoo)
Lineage: Eukaryota; Metazoa; Chordata; Aves; Cuculiformes; Cuculidae
Exons: 3
Source: RefSeq, a predicted model, not a curated record